RNAcentral lists this ribosomal RNA (465 nucleotides) under Vreelandella stevensii. RNAcentral's name for it is "partial 16S ribosomal RNA". It matches the Rfam family "Bacterial small subunit ribosomal RNA", at positions 338 to 795 of the family's 1533-position model. The record is from RNAcentral. Lineage: Bacteria; Pseudomonadati; Pseudomonadota; Gammaproteobacteria; Oceanospirillales; Halomonadaceae.
CCUACGGGGGGCUGCAGUGGGGAAUAUUGGACAAUGGAGGCAACCCUGAUCCAGCCAUGCCGCGUGUGUGAAGAAGGCCCUCGGGUUGUAAAGCACUUUCAGUGAGGAAGAACGCCUGGUGGUUAAUACCCAUCAGGAAAGACAUCACUCACAGAAGAAGCACCGGCUAACUCCGUGCCAGCAGCCGCGGUAAUACGGAGGGUGCGAGCGUUAAUCGGAAUUACUGGGCGUAAAGCGCGCGUAGGUGGCUUGAUAAGCCGGUUGUGAAAGCCCCGGGCUCAACCUGGGAACGGCAUCCGGAACUGUCAAGCUAGAGUGCAGGAGAGGAAGGUAGAAUUCCCGGUGUAGCGGUGAAAUGCGUAGAGAUCGGGAGGAAUACCAGUGGCGAAGGCGGCCUUCUGGACUGACACUGACACUGAGGUGCGAAAGCGUGGGUAGCAAACAGGAUUAGAUACCCUAGUAGUC